Molecule: ribosomal RNA, 446 nt
Filed under: uncultured bacterium
Lineage: Bacteria
Description: SSU rRNA
Rfam family: Bacterial small subunit ribosomal RNA
Source: RNAcentral
AGAGCGAACGCUGGCGGCAGGCCUAAUACAUGCAAGUCGAACGAACCCUUCGGGGUGAGUGGCGGACGGGUGAGUAACACGUGGGAACGUACCCUUUGGUUCGGAACAACUCAGGGAAACUUGAGCUAAUACCGAAUGUGCCCUUCGGGGGAAAGAUUUAUCGCCAUUGGAGCGGCCCGCGUCUGAUUAGCUUGUUGGUGGGGUAAAGGCCCACCAAGGCAACGAUCAGCAGCUGGUCUGAGAGGAUGAUCAGCCACACUGGGACUGAGACACGGCCCAGACUCCUACGGGAGGCAGCAGUAGGGAAUCUUGCGCAAUGGGCGAAAGCCUGACGCAGCCAUGCCGCGUGAAUGAUGAAGGUCUUAGGAUUGUAAAAUUCUUUCAGCGGGGACGAUAAUGACGGUACCCGCAGAAGAAGCCCCGGCUAACUUCGCGCCAGCAGCCGC